GCAGAUCGAAAAUACCAAGUUUCUCGUUCAACCGUAACAAUAGCCCCGGUAGUGUGAUACUGCUCGGCACUAAAAUGGAAGUGCUUUUGUCCCUAGUUUACUUCCAUUCGUCAUUCACGUAAACAAACUUCCCCCCGUGCAACACGAUGAAUCUCAAAUUAUUGUUCAUACCUGAAAUGUUGGGAGUGCAACGAUAAGAAUUAUGCGCAAUCAAAAUGUCGACUAUAUAAUAGCAUGGAAGUGACACGUUCCAAUAUUUAAACCUGUGCAAUACUACAAUGUCAAAUUAAGGGUGUCAAGAAUUUUCAGCUUUCCAAUUCGACAGUUUACUUAUGUAUCCCGGCAGUUUAUAAAUAUCGGGUACGACAGUUCAAAUGUCGAUCCCAACAGUUUCAACAUGUCGAGUUCGACGGUUCAAGUGUCGGAACUGCCGAGAAGCUUCAAAUAUGUUUGGUAUUAAUGCUUAUAAUCAUUUCUCAACUACAACAACUACAACAUCACAACCUAUUUCCAGAAAUAAAUGACUUAAUGCUUCAUUAAAUAUGAAAUACUUCACAUUUUUCAAAAUAUUUUUAGUAUGUUUUUCCUUCAAGAAUAUUAAAAAAACAAGACCAUCAUGUUGUUUAUAACAUUCUAAAAAAAAAAGUAAACUAUUACAUAAAAAUAUAAACAAUUCGUAACAACUGACAAUAGAUGAAGAAGAUGGAUGAAGUAAUGUCUUUUUCAGGAAGAAGAAAAUGGAUGAAGAUGAUGAAUGAAAUAAGGGUUUGUUUGACAAUAAAUUUGUUUUUUUAAUGUUAACUAGGGUUUUGAAGUAUUUUAUAUUCAUUUUUUAUUAACUAAAUUCGUAUUUGACAAUAUAAUAUUCAUAUUUUCAACGAUUAUAAUAUACAAAUUAAACAAUCAAGUCACAACAUUAAUUGUUUUGAAAAGCAAUCAUGAAGGAGCAUUAAAUGCUCCAAAAAAGUCAAAUUAAGGGUAAUUUAGACAUUUGACAACAAGAAAGUGACAUUUUUGUACAAAUUGUGUGCACAUCAAAGUUUUUUGUGCAUUUUCAAAAAAAGUGACAUUUUGGUAAAUUUCCCUACAAAAUAUAACAAAAGAACUCGAAAGAAUUCAAUUUAUGGAUCUUUAAAUAAAUGUAUGCUAGAGAAAUUAGCUCUUAAUGGUGACUGCAGGCUAGAAUGCAAUGUUUCCUUAUUGUCUAGUAUCGAUCCUAUUGCAUCUAAAAGGUUAUUGCCAGAGGGUGCAGCUGCAUCAUUCAAAUAAAGAAAGACUCGAAUGAUAAACUUGUGUUCAAAUAAAGGCAAUAAAAUUGGAAUCACUUCAACCCAUUUGCAAAACUAGAUGGAGCAGCCUGUGGUUGCCACAAUUGUAGCUAUCAAUAACCUUAAACAUUCUCUGACAACUUCAACGAUGAUGACCUGAGACUAUAGUACACAACAGUUGUACUAACAACAGCUAAUGGAGGCUUUAGCGCAAGAAAGUUGUGUGGCUGGAGGCUGUAGUACAUGGUAACUAUCUCGUUAUAUGUCGAUAAUCAAUCAUUUGAAAAUGUGACUGGAGCAUUUUGCAGAACAAUUGGUGGCUAAUUUGCAUAGCAUCUUGUAUAUGUGCCUAGCCAAGAAGUUGAAUCCAUAUACACCAUCAUCACAUUUUACAAGAAAUCACUCAUAGAAAGCCACAAUAGAAAUUUCUUGAACCCAUGUCUCCUAUUUUAUGUGAUUGGGCUAAGACUAUACAAGUGGCUAAUAAUAAUCCAAUAUAAUUUACAUCAAAAGCAGGAUUUGACAAAUUUUAUCCAUUAUACAAUUUAAUCUAUAGUCUAAUUAAGUUUUCCCAAUGCGUCCCUUUUAAUGCAUCGCAAAGUUGAAAAACUUCAAAACUUGUAUUAAAGUUCCAGAAAUUUUCUAGAAUCCAGGUACAACACAUGACAGAAACUUCAACAUAACAAUGCAAAGCUAUAAAAUUUGUAUCAAAAUCAAAUCUACUCGAGACCUAGUUCGGAAAGUAUUGUUUUGACAAUACGUAAUAGGCUUUGUAAAUUUUCUCAUUACUCAGCACAAUAGUUUCUAUCUGCUACUCAAAUGAUAAGAUUUGAACUUUACCUUCAAUUUAUAAGGCUUUGACAUUAAUUUGAAGAUUGUUCAGUAGUCCAAUGUUUU
Molecule: long non-coding RNA, 2165 nt
Filed under: Olea europaea (common olive)
Lineage: Eukaryota; Viridiplantae; Streptophyta; Magnoliopsida; Lamiales; Oleaceae
Description: long non-coding RNA (OEUR_LNC009894)
Source: RNAcentral